UCCGAGUUGACCCCGGCAGUCUCCUAUGAGUCCCCGACAUUACUCGCUGGCAACAUAGGACGAGGGUUGCGCUCGUUGCGGGACUUAACCCAACAUCUCACGACACGAGCUGACGACAACCAUGCACCACCUGUGCAGGACCCUUGCGGACCCCACAUCUCUGUGAGAUUUCCCUGCAUGUCAAGCCUAGAUAAGGUUCUUCGCGUUGCAUCGAAUUAAGCCAUAUGCUCCACCGCUUGUGCGGUCCCCCGCCAAUUCCUUUGAGUUUCAACCUUGCGGCCGUAGUCCCCAGGCGGUUCACUUAAUGCGUUAGCUGCGGCACCGAGGGUUACCCCCCAACACCUAGUGAACAUCGUUUAAGGCCAAGACUAC
Molecule: unclassified non-coding RNA, 372 nt
Filed under: uncultured bacterium
Lineage: Bacteria
Description: contains 16S-23S intergenic spacer region
Source: RNAcentral